GAUGAACGCUGGCGGCGUGCCUAACACAUGCAAGUCGAGCGAGGAACCAUCGAUUGAAACUUCGGUAGAUAUUGAAGGCGGAAAGCGGCGGACGGGUGAGUAACGCGUAGGCAACCUGCCCUUUGCAGAGGGAUAGCAACGGGAAACUGUUAUUAAAACCUCAUAAUACCGUAAUGUCAAAUGAUGAAACGGUCAAAGAUUUAUCGGCAAAGGAUGGGCCUGCGUCUGAUUAGUUAGUUGGUAGGGUAACGGCCUACCAAGGCAGCGAUCAGUAGCCGACCUGAGAGGGUGGAUCGGCCACAUUGGAACUGAGACACGGUCCAAACUCCUACGGGAGGCAGCAGUGGGGAAUAUUGCACAAUGGGCGAAAGGCCUGAUGCAGCAACGCCGCGUGAAGGAUGAAGGCCUUGGGUCGUAAACUUCUGUCCUUGGGGAGAAAAAAUGACGGUACCCUGGAGGAAGUCCCGGCUAACUACGUGCCAGCAGCCGCGGUAAU
RNAcentral lists this ribosomal RNA (496 nucleotides) under uncultured bacterium. Its description in RNAcentral is "bacterial SSU rRNA". It matches the Rfam family "Bacterial small subunit ribosomal RNA", at positions 28 to 524 of the family's 1533-position model. The record is from RNAcentral.